GUUACAGUGGCCGAGUGGUUAAGGCGACACCCUGCUAUUAGGUGUUGGGUUCUGCCUGCGCAGGUUCGAAUCCUGUCUGUGACG
[Candida] anglica is the source of this 84-nucleotide non-coding RNA. NCBI's taxonomy places the organism in Eukaryota, Fungi, Ascomycota, Pichiomycetes, Serinales, Debaryomycetaceae. The record is from the annotation of a GenBank genome assembly.